This is a non-coding RNA of Neolamprologus brichardi, 1513 nucleotides long. NCBI's taxonomy places the organism in Eukaryota, Metazoa, Chordata, Actinopteri, Cichliformes, Cichlidae. The record is from RefSeq and is a predicted model, not a curated record.
GUUACCCACUCUGGAAUUAAGGCAUACAGCUGUGACAUCUGUGGAAAAACCUUCAGUCGGAUAGACAGCCGAAAUAUACACCUACGCAUUCACACUGGACAUGAUGUGUACUGCUGUGAUCAGUGUGGCAAACAGUUCACAGGUGACGCACAGUUACAACGCCACAUGUUUACCCACACUGAGGAGAGACCUUAUAAAUGUGACCUGUGUGAGAAGACUUUUAAAUCUCCACGUUACCUGAGAGAACACCAAAAGAUCCACACCAGAAAGAGACUCUACAAGUGCAGUUAGUGUGAGAAGCAGAGCGACACAGAUGGAUCCACUUCUCAACCCUGUCAUCGCUGUGGUGGUGGGAAAGACUUUCAUUGUGACCUUUGUGGAAAAACUUUCAGUUGGCAAGGCUCCCUAAAAACACAUCAACGAAGACACACUGGAGACAAACUGAAAUACUGCAAAGAAUGUGGGAGAAGCUUCACCACAUCAAGUUACUUCAAACAACAUAAACUGAUUCACAGUGGGGUUAAAAAGCACCUCUGUGAUCAGUGUGGGUCAUCCUUCACCACUGCAAGUCAGCUUAAAUCACACAAACGAUCCCACGUUACUAAUAAACUGUUUCACUGUUACCAAUGUCUGAUGGGCUGUUGUGUUGUUGUUGGUGAUGCUGGAUGAAGGGCUGGUGGACCAGGUGAGCUCAGGUUGAGGGUAGAUCCCGUCUGAGCUGCAGGUGAUCCUUUGUCCUACUUGUUGGAGAUUAACUUUACGGACUGGAGCUGGAAAAAAAACUAAGAAUAAAAAAACUAAAGAAAAAUAUAUUUCUAAACAAGUCAGAACACAAUUUUCCUUUUCUGUUUAUUCCAUGUUAACAUGAUUUAACUUAACAAAAAUCAUGUAAACAUGGUGAAUGGAUUGCUGAGGACUGGGGCAAAGUCAUAUUCUCAGAUGAAGCCUCUUUCCGAUUGUUUGAAGCAUCUGGAAAAAGGCUUGUGCAGAGAAGAAAUGGUGAGCGCUACCAUCAGUCCUGUGUCAUGCCAACAGUAAAGCGUCCUGAGACCAUUCAUGUGUGGGGUUGCUUCUCAUCCAAGGGAGUCUGCUCACAAUUUUGCCCCCAAACACAGCCAUGAAUAAAGAAUGGUCCCAAAACACCCUCCAACAGAGCUACAGAUUAAAAAUGCCCAAGGCGAAGCACUCAAAAGUCUGGCUGUACUUCACAGCAUCUGAUGAAGCACCUGGUGAUGCAUAGAGUUUUUGUAAAAGCUAGAAAAUGCACCGUAUUUGACAGCUUGCUGCAAGGUCGAGCACAUCUAUUGCGGAUGUGGUGCCUGUUAUCGGACCUGGAGUUAGCAACAUCCCCCAAGAACCCGAAGAGUGGAGUCCUGGCCUCUAGCCCUGCCAGUGUAGCACCGGUUCCAACCAAAGGAGUUAUGUUGUAUCAACAGAAAAGGCUAACUUGGUUAUUAUUUUGCAGAAAAAAAGAGACUGCUAAAAAUAAAAACACAAGAGGUUUUUGUACAAA